UCUCUCUUACCCCCUCCUCUGUUAGAAUGUGUGACGCCCCAACUUCCCAGGGGGUCACCCAUCCUAGCACGCUUAACUCUCUUAACCUCUUGGGCCUUGCCACCACCCAAAAUGCUUAAGCCGGGUUAAGAGUUUAGCCCUAUUAUAUCUUAUAUAUAGGACUAUCUGGGGUCUCACAAUCUUCCAUCCUUUAAGCCCUGACGUCCUCGUCAGGCUCAGACUCACAAGUACCAGACGAUGUGAGACUCAUCUCGCUAGCCCCGCUAGCCCGUCAUCCAGACCCUGGCUCAGCCGAGACUCAUCUCACACUUCCGGCUGGUACUCCCGUCCUAGCACGCUUAACUCUCUUAACCUCUUGGGCCUUGCCACCACCCAAAAUGCUUAAGCCGGGUUAAGAGUUUAGCCCUAUUAUAUCUUAUAUAUAGGACUAUCUGGGGUCUCACAAUAAUGUAACGACCCAGCCCACUAGCAAUAAUAACUCGUUGGGCCCAACAACCGGCCCAAAAUGCUUAAGCCCAGUUAUUAUUACUAGUGUCUAAGUCUCUUAUAAACCCAAUGACAACCCCUUUCCCAUCCGAUGUGGGACUAUUGGGGUGUCACAGACUCCCCCCGUUAAGGCCCUGACGUCCUCGUCAGUCCACACACACAGCCCAAGAUCACCAGGCUAUGUGAGACUCGUCUCGCUAGCCCGUCAUCCAGACCCUGGCUCAGCCGAGACUCGCCACACAUGUCCAGCUGGUGAACCGGCUCUGAUACCAAAUGUAACGACCCAGCCCACUAGCAAUAAUAACUCGUUGGGCCCAGCCAACAGCCCAAAAUGCUUAAGCCCAGUUAUUAUUACUAGUGUCUAAGUCUCUUAUAAACCCA
Molecule: long non-coding RNA, 867 nt
Filed under: Ananas comosus (pineapple)
Lineage: Eukaryota; Viridiplantae; Streptophyta; Magnoliopsida; Poales; Bromeliaceae
Description: long non-coding RNA (ACOM_LNC035121)
Source: RNAcentral